CGUAGGGUGCGAGCGUUAAUCGGAAUUACUGGGCGUAAAGCGUGCGCAGGCGGUUUUGUAAGACAGAUGUGAAAUCCCCGGGCUCAACCUGGGACCUGCAUUUGUGACUGCAAGGCUAGAGUACGGUAGAGGGGGAUGGAAUUCCGCGUGUAGCAGUGAAAUGCGUAGAUAUGCGGAGGAACACCGAUGGCGAAGGCAAUCCCCUGGACCUGUACUGACGCUCAUGCACGAAAGCGUGGGGAGCAAACAGGAUUAGAUACCCUGGUAGUCCACGCCCUAAACGAUGUCAACUGGUUGUUGGGUCUUUACUGACUCAGUAACGAAGCUAACGCGUGAAGUUGACCGCCUGGGGAGUACGGCGCAAGGUUG
RNAcentral lists this ribosomal RNA (369 nucleotides) under uncultured organism. RNAcentral's name for it is "bacterial SSU rRNA". It matches the Rfam family "Bacterial small subunit ribosomal RNA", at positions 526 to 896 of the family's 1533-position model. The record is from RNAcentral.